RNAcentral lists this ribosomal RNA (413 nucleotides) under uncultured beta proteobacterium. Its description in RNAcentral is "bacterial SSU rRNA". It matches the Rfam family "Bacterial small subunit ribosomal RNA", at positions 9 to 425 of the family's 1533-position model. Lineage: Bacteria; Pseudomonadati; Pseudomonadota; Betaproteobacteria. The record is from RNAcentral.
GAGUUUGAUCCUGGCUCAGAUUGAACGCUGGCGGCAUGCUUUACACAUGCAAGUCGAACGGUAACGCGGGGGCAACCCUGGCGACGAGUGGCGAACGGGUGAGUAAUACAUCGGAACAUGUCCAAGUCGUGGGGGAUAGCCCGGCGAAAGCCGGAUUAAUACCGCAUGUGCCCGGAAGGGGAAAGUGAGGGACCGCAAGGCCUCACGCGAUUGGGUUGGCCGAUGUCCGAUUAGCUAGUUGGCGGGGUAAGAGCCCACCAAGGCGAUGAUCGGUAGCUGGUCUGAGAGGAUGAUCAGCCACACUGGGACUGAGACACGGCCCAGACUCCUACGGGAGGCAGCAGUGGGGAAUUUUGGACAAUGGGGGCAACCCUGAUCCAGCCAUUCCGCGUGAGUGAAGAAGGCCUCGGUUG